RNAcentral lists this small RNA (38 nucleotides) under Sinorhizobium meliloti 2011. RNAcentral describes it as "putative ncRNA". Lineage: Bacteria; Pseudomonadati; Pseudomonadota; Alphaproteobacteria; Hyphomicrobiales; Rhizobiaceae. The record is from RNAcentral.
GCAACGCCGUGCGUCUCAUCACACGCGCAGACGUCGCU